Molecule: long non-coding RNA, 1743 nt
Organism: Pogoniulus pusillus (Red-fronted tinkerbird)
Lineage: Eukaryota; Metazoa; Chordata; Aves; Piciformes; Lybiidae
Exons: 2
Source: RefSeq, a predicted model, not a curated record
GUCAGCUAUCUGCUGAUAUUUCAUACUCGUCCCAUACACAUAAUACAGAAAGCAGGAGAAGCCGUUAGGUACUAGCAGUAAAAGCAAUCCAGACUAAGCACUUUCCAAUAGCACAAAAUGAGGCAAUUUACCAGGAAGAGAGGGAGUUGCAUUAGCAUGAAAAAAGUCUAAGUUAUUCACAAGAUGCUCAAAGAGAAGGAAGAAUCAUCAAUCCUGAACACUGGGACCGUGAGGAUCCCUAAGGAUUUUACAUGAUGCUAGUGACACCAAGCCAAAUAACUACUGCUGUUGCUCAGCUUCGUGCCAGGUUUGCAGACUUCCUGGUGGUUCAGAGCCCAGCAGUGCCCCAGCUUCUCCCUUCCAGCAGUUCCUGGCCAGCCUCUCCUUUCUGCUCCACAUAGCCCUCGUUAAACUAUUGGCCUCUGACAUGGAGAGGCUUUUUGAGAAGACUGGUUAGGAAGAAAGGAAACGAGAUUAAACAGAAUAGGUCAUUUGAGAUCAGCUGCAGAAAUGUUGCCUUUAUUUGCUUGGUCUGGUAGCUUUGGAAGAUAGGAACUCCACAUCAGUUACGUUUAUAUAAAGAAUAAAGGCCUUAAUUACAGCAGCUCUUGCAUUCAAGCAGGCAGUAGGGAAGCCAAAAGAAAAACAGAAGGGUUCACGGUCAGAGUAAUAAUGUCUGAUGAUCAGAAGUAUCACAUAAACUUCAGAUGGUUAAAAACGGAAUAUCAAAUUAUUUUCCUCUUCUACUCAGUUACUGUGUAAUCUGAUCACUAAUAGCAUCUCCCGUUGCAGACACUGUGACACUGAUGGCAGUCUCUACCACGGCAAAGAGUGGCACCUCUUGCUUUGCAUUCAAUAGCUUCCCUGCAGUUCCCCUGCCAUGCCACAGCAUCCCCCCAGCCCAUGUGGCUGGCUGGCAGUCAUGGAGAGAGUAGUUUCAGAAGCGGGGUACAUAUGUAGUUGGACUUUUGAAGGGAAAAUAGAACUUGAUACUUCAGUUCCCAUAGGAUACCACCACAGAGACUAUUUUCUGUAAAACGAAACCAGUGGAGUGGUGUUUUACACCACAGCAUCGUAUAAAAGGCAAGACAGUUGGCCCAGGGACACUCCUACACAGACAAACUCCUGUCUCUCCUGACAGGUUCACAUUUCUUUAUCUGGCAAGCAUAACACUAUAGUCUGUGUAUAAAGCAGCCUUUUCAUUUAGGGAACAAUUAAGCUAAUCCCAGCAAGACUUCAUGUUUAACCAAGUUCGCAGUGAACAAGUUUGUAGUCUGCAUUCAAUCAAGCUCUUUUAACUUCCACAAGGGCAAAAAAGUGCAUUUGAAAUGUAAAAGUCUAUGCUUCCUAAGACCCGUGAGAGUUCUGCCCAAGUAGAACUAUGCAUCUAUUUGCUGACACAUUGGUAUUGUAUCAGCAGGCUUCUUUCUUCAGUCUGUCAUUAGUCUUCCAAUUAAGCAAUGAACGGUAGUUUUGUAAGUCUCCUUUUCUUUCAUUAAAAUACAUUGGUAUCCACUGCAGCACUUGAUCAAUACAUCCCUCUGCAGCCAUGCACCAUCAAAUACAGCUGCUUAAAGGUAGCAUUAGCUGCACUCGUUACAGGAUGCAGACUCUUGGCCUUCAGAAGCUCACCUAUUCAAAAGUGUGGCCAGAGUCUGUGCUUCUUUCAGUUUGGUUUGAGCUGGGGUAGGGUCCAGCUGUGGCCAAUGAUGAUUUGAAUUCAAUGAAGUCAAAAGACAAUAA